Molecule: small nucleolar RNA, 72 nt
Filed under: Stegodyphus mimosarum
Lineage: Eukaryota; Metazoa; Arthropoda; Arachnida; Araneae; Eresidae
Source: RNAcentral
AUGCAGUGAUGAGUUUUUAGAUUACAGAAAUUUCAUGUUGAAUACUUUUCGAGCUUUUUAACUCUGAGCUAU